RNAcentral lists this ribosomal RNA (492 nucleotides) under uncultured bacterium. RNAcentral's name for it is "partial 16S ribosomal RNA". It matches the Rfam family "Bacterial small subunit ribosomal RNA", at positions 29 to 507 of the family's 1533-position model. The record is from RNAcentral.
AGUGAACGCUGGCGGUAGGCCUAACACAUGCAAGUCGAACGGCAGCACAGUAAGAGCUUGCUCUUACGGGUGGCGAGUGGCGGACGGGUGAGGAAUACAUCGGAAUCUACUUUUUCGUGGGGGUUAACGUAGGGAAACUUACGCUAAUACCGCAUACGACCUACGGGUGAAAGCAGGGGAUCUUCGGACCUUGCGCGAUUGAAUGAGCAGAUGUCGGAUUAGCUAGUUGGCGGGGUAAAGGCCCACCAAGGCGACGAUCCGUAGCUGGUCUGAGAGGAUGAUCAGCCACACUGGAACUGAGACACGGUCCAGACUCCUACGGGAGGCAGCAGUGGGGAAUAUUGGACAAUGGGCGCAAGCCUGAUCCAGCCAUACCGCGUGGGUGAAGAAGGCCUUCGGGUUGUAAAGCCCUUUUGUUGGGAAAGAAAAGCAGCAGGUUAAUACCCCGCUGUUCUGACGGUACCCAAAGAAUAAGCACCGGCUAACUUCGUG